Molecule: ribosomal RNA, 1133 nt
Filed under: Selaginella plana
Lineage: Eukaryota; Viridiplantae; Streptophyta; Lycopodiopsida; Selaginellales; Selaginellaceae
Description: partial large subunit ribosomal RNA
Rfam family: Eukaryotic large subunit ribosomal RNA
Source: RNAcentral
UAAGCGGAGGAAAGAAACUAACAAGGAUUUCCCUAGUAACGGCGAGCGAACGGGAAAGAGCCCAGCUUGAAAAUCGAGGGGGUCUUUGGCCCAUUCGAAUUGUAGUCUGGAGAAGGGUCCUCUGCAGCGGACCGGGCUAAGGUUCCCUGGAAUGGGAUGCCAGAGAGGGUGAGAGCCCCGUCUAGCCCGGACCCUGUUGCUUCACGAGGCUCUGUCUACGAGUCGGGUUGCUUGGGAAUGCAGCCUUAAGCCGGUGGUAAGUUCCAUCGAAGGCUAAAUACUCAUGAGAGACCGAUAGCGCACAAGUACCGCGAGGGAAAGAUGAAAAGGACUUUGAAAAGAGAGUCAAAAAGUGCUUGAAAUUGUUGGGAGGAAAGCGAAUGGAUGCCUCGGUUGCUUGUUGGCUGUGUGUGGAACGGUCCUUUGGGGCUGGUCUGCCAAUCAGCUCAACAGGCUCUCUAGCGUGGGAGCUGGUGGUGUUAUCAAGUGUUUGAGGCCCUAGGCCUCAUGCUUAUGACGCUGCCAGUUCUUUCUUAUGUGGGUGCGCCGGUUUCCGGCAGGGCUUUGUGCCCUUGCAUCCACAUGACGCUGGUGUUCUGGGCGUUCCAUUCGACCCGUCUUGAAACACGGACCAAGGAGUCUAACAUGUAUGCGAGCCUGUGGGUGACAAACCUCUUCAGGCGAAAGGAAACUGAUCAGUGGGAUCCCUUUUGGGUGCACCAUUGACCGACCUUGAUCUUUUGUGAAAGGUUCGAGUGCGAGUAUACCUGUUAGGACCCGAAAGAUGGUGAACUAUGCCUGAGCAGGGCGAAGCCAGAGGAAACUCUGGUGGAGGCUCGUAGCGAUACUGACGUGCAAAUCGUUCGUAGGACUUGGGUAUAGGGGCGAAAGACUAAUCGAACCAUCUAGUAGCUGGUUCCGGCUGAAGUUUCUCUCAGGAUAGCUGGAGCUCAUUCAGAGUUUUAUCGGGUAAAGCGAAUGAUUAGAGGCCUCGGGGGUGAAACACCCUCGACCUAUUCUCAAACUUUAAAUGGGUAAGACGUCGGGGUUGCUCCGGUGAACCCCGGCCUUGAAUCUGAGCUCCAAGUGGGCCAUUUUUGGUAAGCAGAACUGGCGAUGCGGGAUGAACCGAA